This 253-nucleotide ribosomal RNA is filed under the name uncultured bacterium. Its description in RNAcentral is "partial 16S ribosomal RNA". It matches the Rfam family "Bacterial small subunit ribosomal RNA", at positions 524 to 776 of the family's 1533-position model. The record is from RNAcentral.
UACGGAGGUGGCAAGCGUUGCUCGGAAUCACUGGGCGUAAAGGGCGCGUAGGCGGGGAGGUAAGUCGGGUGUGAAAUCCCUCGGCCCAACCGAGGAACUGCGCCCGAGACUGCUUCUCUUGAGUCCCGGAGAGGAAGAUGGAAUUCCCGGUGUAGCGGUGAAAUGUGUAGAGAUCGGAAAGAACAUCGAUGGCGAAGGCAGCGGCCUGGGUCCAGACUGACACUGAGGUGCGAAAGCGUGGGGAGCAAACAGG